Molecule: long non-coding RNA, 1178 nt
Filed under: Phocoena sinus (vaquita)
Lineage: Eukaryota; Metazoa; Chordata; Mammalia; Artiodactyla; Phocoenidae
Description: lncRNA (ENSPSNG00000009288.1)
Source: RNAcentral
GUCAGAGAGAGACAUGCGCAGUGAGUGCCUCCCGUCUCUUCUACCCGAACCCCCCCUCCCCCCCCAAGCAGAGAGACCCCAGCAGCAGCAGCAGCUGAUGAUGAAGAGAGAGGCAGUGGCAGAGGGGGGGCACCUUUUAUUUCUAUUUUUAAAGGGACAGGACACUAAUUUUACCCCACUUCAACCUUGAAUUGAGGGGGGUGGGGGGAAGGCGGCUGAGUUCCUUCCCCCACCCUCCAGCCCUGAGACCUGAGAGGGGGAUUGAGCCUGAGAGAGAAGGAGAAGGAGUUUCUUCUUCUUCAAAAAUCCCCCAUCCACGACUCCUACCCCCUCACCCCUCCACUAGCCUCCCUCCCGAGCCCCCUCCAUCCUCCUCCUCUUUGGCCGUGAAAGGAGAGAAAGAGACCAAAAGCCUCUUAGCAACACAGACCCUUCUCUGCUGCUGCUGCUGCUGCUGCUGCUGCUGCUACUGCUGCUGCUGCUGCUGCUGCUGCUGCUGCUGCUGCUGCUGCUGCUGCUGCUACUGCUGCUGCUGCUUGGCCCUGGCUGGAGACAUCUCACUACACCCGGGAGCAGCCACUUCCCCAGCUCUCCUCCUCCUUCGCCUCCUCCUCCUCCUCCACUCCCCCCCCUUUAUUACCCUUUGUGUCAUCCUCCACAGCUCCAGGGAACGCACUCAAAAGUGGGGGGCAGGAAAGAUGCUUAUUGAAGAUAACAGUUUCUGCGUAUGGGAAGUAGAUAUUGAAGGGUAUAUGGUUUACAGACAAGAUCUUUAAAAAAUAGACACUCAAGGACCAAGGAAAUAUAUACCAGAAGCCAAGAGCACAGAAUAUUUUUCUUCAUCAAUCUGUAGAACUGUGAUACUCCUCUAAUUCCAUCAAACACAAAGGAAUGAUCACCUUGACAGAUGGCCACGGAGGAUGUCAACAAUUUUUUGGAGGCAAGCAAUGAAAUAUUUGUGCUAUGUGUUUUCUAUUAUUAAGUAUGUAGAAACAAGUAGAAUUAUCUUAUGUUUUAAUGAAAAAAAAAAGUAGUCUUUAGUAUAGCAAUUUAUAUAAGCAUAGCUAUUUCUUUUUCUUUUUCUUUUUUUCCUGAGUACUGCUGCAUGUCAAAAAUUAUAGUAAGCUGCUUUUGCCCUUACCUGGAGUACUAUAUAGUAUAGGACUACAUUAAUCCCU